Lepidothrix coronata (blue-crowned manakin) is the source of this 2783-nucleotide long non-coding RNA. RefSeq lists it as uncharacterized. The transcript has 3 exons. The record is from RefSeq and is a predicted model, not a curated record. Lineage: Eukaryota; Metazoa; Chordata; Aves; Passeriformes; Pipridae.
AAAAAUUACAUUAUUCUGUGGCUCAGUACUGUAGGCCCAGUUGUGGGUCUCAGUGUGCCUCUGAGUUAUGCAAAAGUAGCACCUGAGCAGAAUUCAAGCACUGAUUCAGCUGAAAGCUCUUCGGCCAGUUCACUUCCAGGACUCACCUUCCAGUAUUUUGCUUACCUUCCUUAUUUUGCAAUGAGAAUUUGUGCUGAGAGAGAGGUGCUUGGACAUUGCUGACAUCCUCCGUGAAUGCCAGGAGGCCCCUGAUGUCCUGUGGUCUUCCUCAGAGCUCUGAACUGAAGGACAGGUGAUGGUGAGCUGCUGCAGGCUCCCCUCGGGGUGAAGUCAAAGGGAUCCUUCCUGGCUGGUAGACAAUGCCAGUGUGGAAACGAUUGUUCAUGGCUCUUUCUCUGGCAAGAAGUGGCCACUGAUUACAGUGGAAUACUUAAUUGUUGGCUGCAGUUGUGGCAACACCUCUGCAGCACCACCAAGACCUGAACUCCCUUGUGACUGCAUUGGCCCUUGAAGUCAUUCUUCUACCACCUCCUGUGCUUGUGGCCUUGGAGAGGCUGCACAGAAAGGCACAAGCCUGUGGUUCCUUGAUACAGGGUGGAGUAGCUGGGUUUGGAUCUACUAAAAACUAUCUCUAGAAAACCUGUGAGGUGGCAAAUGCAAAACAUACACAGCAAAGUGCCUGUGGGACGUGGUGUGAGCUUGUGGCACCCAGUGCAUGGGCUGAGACUGCUUCACCUGGGAACCACCUUCUGCACCACAGCCUGAGGGAUGGACCCCCUCAUGUCCCACACCACACAAAAUCCUCAUCCUGGGACUGAGAAACACUUCUCUGAGAAUAUUGAAGGGAACAAACAGGAUUGGGAUUGUAACAAACAGGGAACUUGGAGCCUCCCUGUGAGUGAGCACCUUCAGUUCUGGAGUUCAGGUGGCUGAUGCAGCUGUGUGAGAACAUCUGGCUCUUCCAUGGCCUGCAGAGGAAGCUCUGCCAUUCCCUGUGGGAGUGACUGUUCCACUCAAUUAGCGUUUCUCAUUGUACUCCUGGCUGUUCACAGGUUUAAUUCCCUACCCUGCUGUUUGGGGAGUUGCAUGGUGGUGCUGCCACUGAAAACCACAUUGCAAGUAACUUCCACACAACCCAUCCUGGCAUCUCUUCCCAUCCCAUUUUAUUUGUAGUGUAAAACAGAGCCCUGGGAUGGAACCACAGGUUUUACUUUACAUGUUCAGCAAUGUGUCACUUGCACCCAGAGCCCGGUGUGUGCCACAUGAGGGCUGGGAACCUGGUAUGCAUCAGGUUCCAGAUUCUAGGCUUUAAACUUACGUCAUGUGUCUUUGUUGGACAAGAAAUACAGAGUGCAGUCUGUAAAAUUCCAUUGGUGUGGAAUUCUUUUGCCAGCCAUUUGGAAUUAAUAAUGAAAGCACAUCAUUUAUCUUGUUCUGGAUCAUAACAACCUGAAAAAGCCAUUUUUCCAUGUGAGAUUUAUAAAAUGCAGCCAACAGCUAAGUUGCUUUUUUUAACACUUCUGAUAACACAUGCUUGGUAAUUGCAUCAGUGGCCCACUUUUAAAUUUCAGCGAGACUUAGACAGGAGGAAAAACCAACAAAAAACAGAUAACAGCAGUUUUAAGAGCUGUUAAAUGUUCUUCCGUGCUCUGUGAUCUUCAUUUGUGAUACCCUGGAACAGAGGAGUGAGAGCACCAGCCUUCAAAAAGUGGAAUUUGUAUAUGGAGGGAAGUAAAUAUUUUUUCUUUUACAUGGAAAAAGUCUCAAUGACCAUUCUCAAUGAUUCUAAACCUCUUAACAGCAUAAACAACAAGGUAACAGAGCAAUGUCAUCAUCAGCAGCAAUGUUUCUCUGAAAUUUCCCUAGAAAACCAAAAUUCAGCUCAGUUACAGAUACACUGAGCUUAGAUAGAGGAAGAAAUACAGGAUAACAUAAAUAUUUGUGAUCGAGAAGAGAUCCUGUUUGGAUGUCUCCUUUUUAAUGGCUGAAGUAGGUAAUUGGUAGGUAGGGACCCAAUUUACCGUUUUACAUUUAUGCUUUGAUGACUUAGGAUAUUUUUAACAGAAUUUUUGUGUACCAAAAUUCUGAUUUUUUAAAAUUUUUUAAAUCAAGUGAAUUGUGGCACUAUUUUGUGAUUUUAGCAAAUCUGCUGAAUAUUCUUACAUCUGAACUUGGGUUUUGUCUGCAUGCAUUAUCUGCUUAUGAAAAUUUCCAGUUCCAGAGAGUUUUGUACAUUUGCUCAGUUGCUCAUCUUUGCUAAUCUGGGAAGAUACAUUGAGAACCUUUGCUUCUGGGGACUUCUUUUAAGAGAACAGACUCUUGUAACCCUUGGUUACAGGAAUCAGCAAGAAUUAUUAUUUUUAUGUAUUCACUUAAGCCAAAAAAUGUGCUUUCCUGUGUAAUGCAGCUGCUCACUUACCUACAUAAUCCUUCAUUUGUGUCAGCAUGACAAGAAUUCAACCUCCUGCCAGGAGGUUUGAGGUUGGUUGGUUUUGGUUACUAACAGGAACAUUCCUUUCCAUGCAGUAAAUGUUAAACUAGUUAGUUACAGCUAAGUACAGUGAUGUAAUCAAUUCUUGUUGCAACUCCAUGAAUUUCACCAAAGCUGUCUCAGUAACUUUUUUCCUCCCUGUUUGCUGUGGUGAUGGUUUCAUGAGUUUGUUUGGACAUCUGUGUUUAUAUUACAUACAUGUAAAUUCAAUUCCAGCACAAAGAAAGGAUGUUUGCUCUUUCCUCUGAACGGUGAAUUUAAAAUUUUUUCCUCAAAAAUUCUCUCUUCUAGA